GACAGAGGGUGCAACCGUUGUUCGGAAUUACUGGGCGUAAAGCGCGUGUAGGCUGCUUCGCAAGUCGGGUGUGAAAGCCCUGGGCUCAACCUAGGAAGUGCACUCGAAACUGCGAAGCUUGAGUCCUGGAGAGGAAGGCGGAAUUCUCGGUGUAGAGGUGAAAUUCGUAGAUAUCGAGAGGAACAUCGGUGGCGAAGGCGGCCUUCUGGACGGUGACUGACGCUGAGACGCGAAAGCGUGGGGAGCAAACAGG
RNAcentral lists this ribosomal RNA (253 nucleotides) under uncultured bacterium. RNAcentral's name for it is "partial 16S ribosomal RNA". It matches the Rfam family "Bacterial small subunit ribosomal RNA", at positions 524 to 776 of the family's 1533-position model. The record is from RNAcentral.